This 369-nucleotide ribosomal RNA is filed under the name uncultured Glomeromycotina. RNAcentral describes it as "LSU rRNA". The record is from RNAcentral. Lineage: Eukaryota; Fungi; Glomeromycota.
UUGAAAGGGAAACGAUUGAAGUCAGUCGUGCUGGCGCGAAAUCAACCUUCUCGUCUUGAGAUCACAUGGCGUGGCGAGCCUCAAAACCGUCACGAAGCGUGAACUCUUGGUGAAAUGGAGCACUUUCGUGUCCGCUGGUUAACAUCAAUUUCGGACGUCAUAAAAAGGCUGGAGGGAUGUGGCUCCUUCGGGAGUGUUAUAACCUUUAGCGGAAUGUGGUGUUCGGGAUUGAGGAUUGCAACGAAUACCUUUAGGGCUGUUCCACCUGGCUUCUCUUUGGUAUCCUGGUGACGACAGCUUGCUGACGUCGUUAGGAUUCGCCUUUGAACAGGCUAGAGUGUGAGCAAAUUCGUUAAGGAUGUUGACGUA